RNAcentral lists this ribosomal RNA (461 nucleotides) under Fusobacteriales bacterium 'ARUP UnID 391'. Its description in RNAcentral is "bacterial SSU rRNA". It matches the Rfam family "Bacterial small subunit ribosomal RNA", at positions 27 to 504 of the family's 1533-position model. Lineage: Bacteria; Fusobacteriati; Fusobacteriota; Fusobacteriia; Fusobacteriales. The record is from RNAcentral.
GGAUGAACGCUGACAGAAUGCUUAACACAUGCAAGUCGAUGGGGAAGCGGCGCUUGCGCCGUGGCAACCAUGGCGGACGGGUGAGUAACGCGUAAAGAACUUGCCGGAUGGACCGGGAUAACAGCUGGAAACGGCUGGCAAGACCGGAURCURUGGGCUGGCCGCAUGGCUGGCCCAUGAAAAGGGAUGCCGUCCGAGAGCUUUGCGUCCUAUUAGCUGGUUGGUAAGGUGAYGGCUUACCAAGGCGAUGAUAGGUAGCCGGCCUGAGAGGGUGGACGGCCACAAGGGGACUGAGAUACGGCCCUUACUCCUACGGGAGGCAGCAGUGGGGAAUAUUGGACAAUGGGGGCAACCCUGAUCCAGCAAUUCUGUGUGCACGAAGAAGGUUUUCGGAUCGUAAAGUGCUUUCAGCAGGGAGGAAGGAAGUGACUGUACCUGCAGAAGAAGCGACGGCUAAAUAC